GAUGAACGCUAGCUACAGGCUUAACACAUGCAAGUCGAGGGGCAGCAUGGUCUUAGCUUGCUAAGGCCGAUGGCGACCGGCGCACGGGUGAGUAACACGUAUCCAACCUGCCGUCUACUCUUGGACAGCCUUCUGAAAGGAAGAUUAAUACAAGAUGGCAUCAUGAGUCCGCAGGUUCACAUGAUUAAAGGUAUUCCGGUAGACGAUGGGGAUGCGUUCCAUUAGAUAGUAGGCGGGGUAACGGCCCACCUAGUCUUCGAUGGAUAGGGGUUCUGAGAGGAAGGGCCCCCAGAGUGGAACUGGGACCCGGGCCACUCUCCUACGGGCCGCAGCCGUGCGGGAUACUGAUCAAUGGGCGAGUGCCUGAACCAGCCAAGUAGCGUGAAGGAUGACUGCCCUAUGGGUUGUAAACUUCUGUUAUAAAGGAAUAAAGUCGUGUAUGGAUGCCCGUUUGCCUGUACUUGAUGAAUAAGGAUCGGCUAACUCCGUG
This 490-nucleotide ribosomal RNA is filed under the name uncultured bacterium. RNAcentral's name for it is "partial 16S ribosomal RNA". It matches the Rfam family "Bacterial small subunit ribosomal RNA", at positions 28 to 507 of the family's 1533-position model. The record is from RNAcentral.